Molecule: long non-coding RNA, 155 nt
Organism: Drosophila miranda
Lineage: Eukaryota; Metazoa; Arthropoda; Insecta; Diptera; Drosophilidae
Exons: 2
Source: RefSeq, a predicted model, not a curated record
GCCAGAACCGCCGCUAUCGCGUUAAUGUAGUACACGUAGAUUUCGGCGGCGACAAGUGGAAUGGCGGCAACAAACAAGGCCGCUCAGUGUCCAAGGGCUAUGAAGAGCCCGAUCUUUACGGCGAAGAUGAUGACGAGGAGGACCCGGACGCCGCC